UACACUCCUACGGGAGGCAGCAGUGGGGAAUAUUGCACAAUGGGCGCAAGCCUGAUGCAGCGACGCCGCGUGGGGGAUGAAGGCCUUCGGGUUGUAAACUCCUUUCGCUAGGGACGAAGCUUUUUUGUGACGGUACCUAGAUAAGAAGCACCGGCUAACUACGUGCCAGCAGCCGCGGUAAUACGUAGGGUGCGAGCGUUGUCCGGAAUUACUGGGCGUAAAGGGCUCGUAGGUGGUUUGUCGCGUCGUCUGUGAAAUUCUGGGGCUUAACUCCGGGCGUGCAGGCGAUACGGGCAUAACUUGAGUGCUGUAGGGGUAACUGGAAUUCCUGGUGUAGCGGUGAAAUGCGCAGAUAUCAGGAGGAACACCGAUGGCGAAGGCAGGUUACUGGGCAGUUACUGACGCUGAGGAGCGAAAGCAUGGGUAGCGAACAGGAUUAGGAACCCCAGUAGUCCCAUGA
Molecule: ribosomal RNA, 460 nt
Filed under: uncultured organism
Description: partial 16S ribosomal RNA
Rfam family: Bacterial small subunit ribosomal RNA
Source: RNAcentral